GGGUUGUUAGCUCAGCUGGUAGAGCAGCGGACUCUUAAUCCGUAGGUCGUGGGUUCGAACCCCUCACAACCCACCA
RNAcentral lists this transfer RNA (76 nucleotides) under Zoogloeaceae bacterium. RNAcentral's name for it is "tRNA-Lys". It matches the Rfam family "tRNA". From Rfam's summary of the family: Transfer RNA (tRNA) molecules are approximately 80 nucleotides in length. Their secondary structure includes four short double-helical elements and three loops (D, anti-codon, and T loops). Lineage: Bacteria; Pseudomonadati; Pseudomonadota; Betaproteobacteria; Rhodocyclales; Zoogloeaceae. The record is from RNAcentral.